GUCUUUUUGAUUAUAAUUUAAAGUCUAACCUGCCCACUGAAUUUUUUGAAGGGCCGCGGUAUUUUGACUGUGCAAAGGUAGCAUAAUCAUUAGUCUUUUAAUUGAAGGCUUGUAUGAAUGGUUGGAUGAGGUAAUAACUGUCUCAAAUUAAUAAAUAAUAAAAUUUUAUUUUUAAGUUAAAAAGCUUAAAUAUAAUUAGAGGACGAGAAGACCCUAUAGAUCUUUAUAAAUUAAUAAAUUUUAAUUUUUUAGUUAAAAUAUGUUUUUAUCUGUUAAUUUAUUUUAUUGGGGUGAUAAAAAAAUUUAAAAAACUUUUUUUUUAAUUAAACAAUGAUUUUUGAUUAAUUGAUCCGUUAUUAGUGAUUAAAAGAUUAAGUUACCUUAGGGAUAACAGCGUAAUUUUUUUGAAGAGUUCAUAUCGAUAAAAAAGAUUGCGACCUCGAUGUUGAAUUAAAGGUUAACUUUAGGUGUAGAAGUUUAAAGUUUUGGUCUGUUCGACCAUUAAAUC
Molecule: ribosomal RNA, 508 nt
Filed under: Anachauliodes laboissierei
Lineage: Eukaryota; Metazoa; Arthropoda; Insecta; Megaloptera; Corydalidae
Description: partial 16S ribosomal RNA
Rfam family: Bacterial large subunit ribosomal RNA
Source: RNAcentral